AUUAUUUUGGCAGAUAAUAUGCAUUAAAUUUAGGAUUUAAUUAUAUAGGGAAUCUAUAAAUAAUA
This 65-nucleotide transfer RNA is filed under the name Apotamonautes hainanensis. Its description in RNAcentral is "tRNA-Leu". Lineage: Eukaryota; Metazoa; Arthropoda; Malacostraca; Decapoda; Potamidae. The record is from RNAcentral.